This 224-nucleotide ribosomal RNA is filed under the name uncultured crenarchaeote. RNAcentral's name for it is "partial 16S ribosomal RNA". It matches the Rfam family "Archaeal small subunit ribosomal RNA", at positions 1116 to 1338 of the family's 1478-position model. Lineage: Archaea; Thermoproteati; Thermoproteota. The record is from RNAcentral.
GGCGUGAGGGAAGGUGGGGGGCCGACGGUAGGUCAGUAUGCCCCGAAUAUCCUGGGCCACACGCGGGCUGCAAUGGUAGGGACAGAGGGCUGCAACAUCGAGAGAUGGAGCCAAUCCCUAAACCCUACCUCAGUUGGGAUCGAGGGCUGCAACCCGCCCUCGUGAACAUGGAAUGCCUAGUAACCGCGCGUCAUCAUCGCGCAGUGAAUACGUCCCUGCUCCUU